Molecule: non-coding RNA, 45 nt
Filed under: Schistosoma margrebowiei
Lineage: Eukaryota; Metazoa; Platyhelminthes; Trematoda; Strigeidida; Schistosomatidae
Source: RNAcentral
AUCCGACUGACGAGUCCCAAAUGGAACGAAACGCUCGUCGUGGAU